RNAcentral lists this ribosomal RNA (301 nucleotides) under uncultured bacterium. RNAcentral describes it as "partial 16S ribosomal RNA". It matches the Rfam family "Archaeal small subunit ribosomal RNA", at positions 459 to 759 of the family's 1478-position model. The record is from RNAcentral.
CAGUCGCCGCGGGAAUACCAGCAGCCCAAGUGGUGGUCGCGCUUAUUGGGCCUAAAGCGCUCGUAGCCUGGCCGGUAAGUUCCCCGUGAAAUCGGGUCGCCCAACGAUUCGGCUUGCGGGGAAUACUGUCGGUCUUGGGGCCGGGAGACGCCGAGGGUACUCCGGGGGUAGCGGUGAAAUGCUGUAAUCCUCGGGGGACUACCAGUGGCGAAGGCGCUCGGCGAUAACGGGCCUGACGGUGAGGGGCGAAAGCUGGGGGCGCGAACGGGAUUAGAUACCCCUGUAGUCCCUGUCUCUUAUU